Molecule: long non-coding RNA, 586 nt
Filed under: Homo sapiens (human)
Lineage: Eukaryota; Metazoa; Chordata; Mammalia; Primates; Hominidae
Description: HSALNT0355979
Source: RNAcentral
UGAGACUUUUGGUGUUGAUUCCCGAGAAGAUAGGACACAUUCCACCCCACAGGACUGGCAUGUGGCCCAGUGACAGUGCCAGACCCUUUGAACACACAGCUCCGUUCCAUGUGACGCCAGUGGAAAAUCAAACAUUUCUUGGCAGUAUUGACGAGUAUUUGGAUGAAAGAAACAGAAGAGCUCAUUAAACCUGCAAAACUCUAUUCCAAUGGUGACCAGCAUUACUUCACCUGGGAAAUCAUUGAAAAACAAUUACUGUGAGACUGGAUUGACAGAGUCAUGCUCUGCUGCCAAGGCUGGAGUAUAGUGGCACUAUCUCAACUCACUGCAAACUCCACCUCCCGGGUUCAAGUGAUUCUUCUGCCUCAGCCUCCCGAGUAUCUGGGACUACAGGUGCAUGCCACCACAUCCAGCUAAUUUUUGUAUUUCUAGUAGAGAUGGGGUUUCACCAUAUUGACCAGGCUGGUCUUUAACUCCUGACCUCAUGAUCUGCCCACCUUGGCCUCCCAAAGUGCUGGGAUUAUAGGCAUGAGCCACCGCACCUGGCCUACUCCUUUACUUUCUUAAUAAACUUGCUUUCACUUUA